RNAcentral lists this ribosomal RNA (2903 nucleotides) under Escherichia coli. Its description in RNAcentral is "bacterial LSU rRNA". It matches the Rfam family "Bacterial large subunit ribosomal RNA". The record is from RNAcentral. Lineage: Bacteria; Pseudomonadati; Pseudomonadota; Gammaproteobacteria; Enterobacterales; Enterobacteriaceae.
UUAAGCGACUAAGCGUACACGGUGGAUGCCCUGGCAGUCAGAGGCGAUGAAGGACGUGCUAAUCUGCGAUAAGCGUCGGUGAGGUGAUAUGAACCGUUAUAACCGGCGAUUUCCGAAUGGGGAAACCCAGUGUGUUUCGACACACUAUCAUUAACUGAAUCCAUAGGUUAAUGAGGCGAACCGGGGGAACUGAAACAUCUAAGUACCCCGAGGAAAAGAAAUCAACCGAGAUUCCCCCAGUAGCGGCGAGCGAACGGGGAGGAGCCCAGAGCCUGAAUCAGUGUGUGUGUUAGUGGAAGCGUCUGGAAAGGCGCGCGAUACAGGGUGACAGCCCCGUACACAAAAAUGCACAUAUUGUGAGCUCGAUGAGUAGGGCGGGACACGUGGUAUCCUGUCUGAAUAUGGGGGGACCAUCCUCCAAGGCUAAAUACUCCUGACUGACCGAUAGUGAACCAGUACCGUGAGGGAAAGGCGAAAAGAACCCCGGCGAGGGGAGUGAAAAAGAACCUGAAACCGUGUACGUACAAGCAGUGGGAGCCUCUUAAUGGGGUGACUGCGUACCUUUUGUAUAAUGGGUCAGCGACUUAUAUUCUGUAGCAAGGUUAACCGAAUAGGGGAGCCGAAGGGAAACCGAGUCUUAACUGGGCGUUAAGUUGCAGGGUAUAGACCCGAAACCCGGUGAUCUAGCCAUGGGCAGGUUGAAGGUUGGGUAACACUAACUGGAGGACCGAACCGACUAAUGUUGAAAAAUUAGCGGAUGACUUGUGGCUGGGGGUGAAAGGCCAAUCAAACCGGGAGAUAGCUGGUUCUCCCCGAAAGCUAUUUAGGUAGCGCCUCGUGAAUUCAUCUCCGGGGGUAGAGCACUGUUUCGGCAAGGGGGUCAUCCCGACUUACCAACCCGAUGCAAACUGCGAAUACCGGAGAAUGUUAUCACGGGAGACACACGGCGGGUGCUAACGUCCGUCGUGAAGAGGGAAACAACCCAGACCGCCAGCUAAGGUCCCAAAGUCAUGGUUAAGUGGGAAACGAUGUGGGAAGGCCCAGACAGCCAGGAUGUUGGCUUAGAAGCAGCCAUCAUUUAAAGAAAGCGUAAUAGCUCACUGGUCGAGUCGGCCUGCGCGGAAGAUGUAACGGGGCUAAACCAUGCACCGAAGCUGCGGCAGCGACACUAUGUGUUGUUGGGUAGGGGAGCGUUUCUGUAAGCCUGUGAAGGUGUGCUGUGAGGCAUGCUGGAGGUAUCAGAAGUGCGAAUGCUGACAUAAGUAACGAUAAAGCGGGUGAAAAGCCCGCUCGCCGGAAGACCAAGGGUUCCUGUCCAACGUUAAUCGGGGCAGGGUGAGUCGACCCCUAAGGCGAGGCCGAAAGGCGUAGUCGAUGGGAAACAGGUUAAUAUUCCUGUACUUGGUGUUACUGCGAAGGGGGGACGGAGAAGGCUAUGUUGGCCGGGCGACGGUUGUCCCGGUUUAAGCGUGUAGGCUGGUUUUCCAGGCAAAUCCGGAAAACCAAGGCUGAGGCGUGAUGACGAGGCACUACGGUGCUGAAGCGACAAAUGCCCUGCUUCCAGGAAAAGCCUCUAAGCAUCAGGUAACAUCAAAUCGUACCCCAAACCGACACAGGUGGUCAGGUAGAGAAUACCAAGGCGCUUGAGAGAACUCGGGUGAAGGAACUAGGCAAAAUGGUGCCGUAACUUCGGGAGAAGGCACGCUGAUAUGUAGGUGAAGCGACUUGCUCGUGGAGCUGAAAUCAGUCGAAGAUACCAGCUGGCUGCAACUGUUUAUUAAAAACACAGCACUGUGCAAACACGAAAGUGGACGUAUACGGUGUGACGCCUGCCCGGUGCCGGAAGGUUAAUUGAUGGGGUUAGCGGUAACGCGAAGCUCUUGAUCGAAGCCCCGGUAAACGGCGGCCGUAACUAUAACGGUCCUAAGGUAGCGAAAUUCCUUGUCGGGUAAGUUCCGACCUGCACGAAUGGCGUAAUGAUGGCCAGGCUGUCUCCACCCGAGACUCAGUGAAAUUGAACUCGCUGUGAAGAUGCAGUGUACCCGCGGCAAGACGGAAAGACCCCGUGAACCUUUACUAUAGCUUGACACUGAACAUUGAGCCUUGAUGUGUAGGAUAGGUGGGAGGCUUUGAAGUGUGGACGCCAGUCUGCAUGGAGCCGACCUUGAAAUACCACCCUUUAAUGUUUGAUGUUCUAACGUGGGCCCCUAAUCGGGGUUGCGGACAGUGUCUGGUGGGUAGUUUGACUGGGGCGGUCUCCUCCUAAAGAGUAACGGAGGAGCACGAAGGUUGGCUAAUCCUGGUCGGACAUCAGGAGGUUAGUGCAAUGGCAUAAGCCAGCUUGACUGCGAGCGUGACGGCGCGAGCAGGUGCGAAAGCAGGUCAUAGUGAUCCGGUGGUUCUGAAUGGAAGGGCCAUCGCUCAACGGAUAAAAGGUACUCCGGGGAUAACAGGCUGAUACCGCCCAAGAGUUCAUAUCGACGGCGGUGUUUGGCACCUCGAUGUCGGCUCAUCACAUCCUGGGGCUGAAGUAGGUCCCAAGGGUAUGGCUGUUCGCCAUUUAAAGUGGUACGCGAGCUGGGUUUAGAACGUCGUGAGACAGUUCGGUCCCUAUCUGCCGUGGGCGCUGGAGAACUGAGGGGGGCUGCUCCUAGUACGAGAGGACCGGAGUGGACGCAUCACUGGUGUUCGGGUUGUCAUGCCAAUGGCACUGCCCGGUAGCUAAAUGCGGAAGAGAUAAGUGCUGAAAGCAUCUAAGCACGAAACUUGCCCCGAGAUGAGUUCUCCCUGAGACUUAGAGUCUCCUGAAGGAACGUUGAAGACGACGACGUUGAUAGGCCGGGUGUGUAAGCGCAGCGAUGCGUUGAGCUAACCGGUACUAAUGAACCGUGAGGCUUAACCUU